RNAcentral lists this ribosomal RNA (353 nucleotides) under Campylobacter sp. RNAcentral's name for it is "partial 16S ribosomal RNA". It matches the Rfam family "Bacterial small subunit ribosomal RNA", at positions 1 to 233 of the family's 1533-position model. The record is from RNAcentral. Lineage: Bacteria; Pseudomonadati; Campylobacterota; Epsilonproteobacteria; Campylobacterales; Campylobacteraceae.
UUUAUGGAGAGUUUGAUCCUGGCUCAUAGUGAACGCUGGCGGCGUGCCUAAUACAUGCAAGUCGAACGGACGAGUAAGAGCUUGCUCUUAUGAGUUAGUGGCGCACGGGUGAGUAAUGUAUAGUUAAUCUGCCCUACACUGGAGGACAACAGUUAGAAAUGACUGCUAAUACUCCAUACUCCUUCUUAACACAAGUUAAGUCGGGAAAGUUUUUUCCUAAAACUUUUUCAAAAAAACUGACGAUGAUAUGUCUUUCCUUUCAGAAAAACAUUAAAUUGCACAACUAAACUGUUAAGUUAUACCACAACAUAACUCAUGCUCUAAACAUUUGUUCUCUCGCAGUUGUUAGACUA